This 619-nucleotide ribosomal RNA is filed under the name Saccharomyces cf. cerevisiae/paradoxus. RNAcentral describes it as "LSU rRNA". It matches the Rfam family "Eukaryotic large subunit ribosomal RNA", at positions 35 to 669 of the family's 3401-position model. The record is from RNAcentral. Lineage: Eukaryota; Fungi; Ascomycota; Saccharomycetes; Saccharomycetales; Saccharomycetaceae.
UUGGCAUUUUCAUAAGCGGAGGAAAAGACACCAACCGGGAUUGCCUUAGUAACGGCGAGUGAAGCGGCAAAAGCUCAAAUUUGAAAUCUGGUACCUUCGGUGCCCGAGUUGUAAUUUGGAGAGGGCAACUUUGGGGCCGUUCCUUGUCUAUGUUCCUUGGAACAGGACGUCAUAGAGGGUGAGAAUCCCGUGUGGCGAGGAGUGCGGUUCUUUGUAAAGUGCCUUCGAAGAGUCGAGUUGUUUGGGAAUGCAGCUCUAAGUGGGUGGUAAAUUCCAUCUAAAGCUAAAUAUUGGCGAGAGACCGAUAGCGAACAAGUACAGUGAUGGAAAGAUGAAAAGAACUUUGAAAAGAGAGUGAAAAAGUACGUGAAAUUGUUGAAAGGGAAGGGCAUUUGAUCAGACAUGGUGUUUUGUGCCCUCUGCUCCUUGUGGGUAGGGGAAUCUCGCAUUUCACUGGGCCAGCAUCAGUUUUGGUGGCAGGAUAAAUCCAUAGGAAUGUAGCUUGCCUCGGUAAGUAUUAUAGCCUGUGGGAAUACUGCCAGCUGGGACUGAGGACUGCGACGUAAGUCAAGGAUGCUGGCAUAAUGGUUAUAUGCCGCCCGUCUUGAACCGGGACCAA